RNAcentral lists this transfer RNA (69 nucleotides) under Ictidomys tridecemlineatus (thirteen-lined ground squirrel). Its description in RNAcentral is "Spermophilus tridecemlineatus (thirteen-lined ground squirrel) tRNA". It matches the Rfam family "tRNA". From Rfam's summary of the family: Transfer RNA (tRNA) molecules are approximately 80 nucleotides in length. Their secondary structure includes four short double-helical elements and three loops (D, anti-codon, and T loops). Lineage: Eukaryota; Metazoa; Chordata; Mammalia; Rodentia; Sciuridae. The record is from Rfam by way of RNAcentral. RNAcentral also lists the same sequence under 1 other name.
GGGGCUGUAGCUCAGUGGUAGAGCACUUGCUUUGCACGUGUGAGGCACUGGGUUCAAUCCUCAGCACCA